This 57-nucleotide transfer RNA is filed under the name Euchoreutes naso (Long-eared jerboa). RNAcentral's name for it is "tRNA-Ser". Lineage: Eukaryota; Metazoa; Chordata; Mammalia; Rodentia; Dipodidae. The record is from RNAcentral.
AAGAGAGUAUUAAGAACUGCUAACUCUUAGAACCGCAUCUAAUAGUGCGGCUCUCUU